UAGGCUUCAAGCGUUGUCCGGAUUUAUUGGGCGUAAAGAGUUCGUAGGYGGUCSAKUAAGUCGGGUGUGAAAAUUCUGGGCUCAACCCAGAGACGCCACCCGAUACUGCUUAACUUGAGUUCGAUAGGGGAGUGGGGAAUUCCUAGUGUAGCGGUGAAAUGCGCAGAUAUUAGGAGGAACACCGRUGGCGAAGGCGGGACUCUGGAUCGAUACUGACGCUGAGGAACGAAAGCAUGGGUAGCAAACRGGAUUAGAUACCCUGGUAGUCCAUGCGGUAAACGGWGGGCACUAGGUGGGGGUUUCUAUCAACGAAAUCCGCGCCGUCGCUAACGCAUUAAGUGCCCCGCCUGGGGAGUACGGUCGCAAGACUAAAACUCAAAGGAAUUGACGGGGGCCCGCACAAGCAGCGGAGCGUGUUCGUUAAUUCA
This 428-nucleotide ribosomal RNA is filed under the name uncultured bacterium 1605-35. RNAcentral describes it as "bacterial SSU rRNA". It matches the Rfam family "Bacterial small subunit ribosomal RNA", at positions 528 to 953 of the family's 1533-position model. The record is from RNAcentral. Lineage: Bacteria; Bacillati; Actinomycetota; Actinomycetes.